Molecule: ribosomal RNA, 508 nt
Filed under: uncultured bacterium
Lineage: Bacteria
Description: partial 16S ribosomal RNA
Rfam family: Bacterial small subunit ribosomal RNA
Source: RNAcentral
AUUGAACGCUGGCGGCAUGCCUUACACAUGCAAGUCGAACGGCAGCGGGGGAGAAGCUUGCUUUUCCUACCGGCGAGUGGCGAACGGGUGAGUAAUACAUCGGAACGUGCCCUGUAGUGGGGGAUAACUAGUCGAAAGAUUAGCUAAUACCGCAUACGACCUGAGGGUGAAAGUGGGGGACCGCAAGGCCUCAUGCUAUAGGAGCGGCCGAUGGCUGAUUAGCUAGUUGGUGGGGUAAAGGCCUACCAAGGCGACGAUCAGUAGCUGGUCUGGGAGGACGAUCAGCCACACUGGGACUGAGACACGGCCCAGACUCCUACGGGAGGCAGCAGUGGGGAAUUUUGGACAAUGGGCGAAAGCCUGAUCCAGCAAUGCCGCGUGUGUGAAGAAGGCCUUCGGGUUGUAAAGCACUUUUGUCCGGAAAGAAAUGGCUCUGGUCAAUACCUGGGGUCGAUGACGGUACCGGAAGAAUAAGGACCGGCUAACUACGUGCCAGCAGCCGCAGUAA